This 460-nucleotide ribosomal RNA is filed under the name uncultured bacterium. Its description in RNAcentral is "bacterial SSU rRNA". It matches the Rfam family "Bacterial small subunit ribosomal RNA", at positions 338 to 795 of the family's 1533-position model. The record is from RNAcentral.
CCUACGGGACGCAGCAGUGAGGAAUAUUGGACAAUGGGUGGAAGCCUGAUCCAGCCAUCCCGCGUGCAGGAAGACGGCCCUAUGGGUUGUAAACUGCUUUUAUCUGGGGAUAAACCUACUUACGUGUAAGUAGCAGAAGGUACCAGAAGAAUAAGCACCGGCUAACUCCGUGCCAGCAGCCGCGGUAAUACGGAGGGUGCAAGCGUUAUCCGGAUUUAUUGGGUUUAAAGGGUCCGUAGGCGGACUAGUAAGUCAGUGGUGAAAUCCGACAGCUUAACUGUCGAACUGCCAUUGAUACUGCUAGUCUUGAGUAAGGUUGAAGUGGCUGGAAUAAGUAGUGUGGCGGUGAAAUGCAUAGAUAUUACUUAGAACACCAAUUGCGAAGGCAGGUCACUAAGUCUUAACUGACGCUGAUGGACGAAAGCGUGGGGAGCAAACAGGAUUAGAUACCCUCGUAGUC